RNAcentral lists this ribosomal RNA (423 nucleotides) under Escherichia coli. RNAcentral describes it as "bacterial SSU rRNA". It matches the Rfam family "Bacterial small subunit ribosomal RNA", at positions 48 to 469 of the family's 1533-position model. The record is from RNAcentral. Lineage: Bacteria; Pseudomonadati; Pseudomonadota; Gammaproteobacteria; Enterobacterales; Enterobacteriaceae.
UCUACCAUGCAGUCGACGGUAACAGGAAGCAAGCUUGCUUCUUUGCUGACGAGUGGCGGCACGGGUGAGUAAUGUCUGGGAAACUGCCUGAUGGAGGGGGAUAACUACUGGAAACGGUAGCUAAUACCGCAUAACGUCGCAAGACCAAAGAGGGGGACCUUCGGGCCUCUUGCCAUCGGAUGUGCCCAGAUGGGAUUAGCUAGUAGGUGGGGUAACGGCUCACCUAGGCGACGAUCCCUAGCUGGUCUGAGAGGAUGACCAGCCACACUGGAACUGAGACACGGUCCAGACUCCUACGGGAGGCAGCAGUGGGGAAUAUUGCACAAUGGGCGCAAGCCUGAUGCAGCCAUGCCGCGUGUAUGAAGAAGGCCUUCGGUUGUAAAGUACUUUCAGCGGGGAGGAAGGGAGUAAAGUAAUACCUUU